Molecule: long non-coding RNA, 1324 nt
Organism: Diceros bicornis minor
Lineage: Eukaryota; Metazoa; Chordata; Mammalia; Perissodactyla; Rhinocerotidae
Exons: 5
Source: RefSeq, a predicted model, not a curated record
AAAUACCUACCAGUACUUCUCAAAACUCUUAAAGUCUUCAAAAACUGGAAAAGUCGAAGAAAACAUCACAGCCAAGAGGAGCCUAAGGAGACAUGAUGAUUAACUUAAUGCGAGAUCCUAAAUGGAAGCCUGAAACAGAAACAGGACAUUAGUCCACUCGGACACUACUGACAGUUGGAUACCCCCGUUCCUCACUGAGGGUGUUUCCCUCCACAUGCAUGGAUCCUGCAUGAGAAGCAUACUCCGGCCUUUAUCUACCCUGUCCCUCAUUCCUGUCCCCAGAAGUCUCAGUGAAUUAUCGGACUGUGAAUAACAUUUUCAAAAAUAAAAAAUCACUUAAUCUACAUAUCAAGCAGAUGCUGGGAGUGGCCGUGGAGGUAGAGGAGUGCUGGCGGCAUCACUGAGGCUGCAGCAGCAGCAACCACCCACGAUGGAAGAGCUCUAUUGUCCGUGCUGUUGCACGGACACAGACUGCCCAGCAGCCCAGGGCUGACGACCACCAGCAGGCUGCGAUGAGCAUAAAGAGAGCUUGCAGACAUCUCCUGGGCAGCUUGCGGACCUCUCCCCUCUCUGCCCACUGAGCCUUCAGAGCUGACUUCACAGAGGUAGCACUGGAAACGCUAUCACAUUCGGUACCGUCUUUUUAGGACAGCCUCAUGGAAAUCGAUAGACUGAAAUCAUUCGCCCAUAUCCAAAUGAUGUUGGCCUUGGAUAUAUGGUCUGACCAUCUUGAACUUUCUCAUCAUAUCAAAAUUACUGCAUUUAUGCUGUUGUGAUAUUACUGUCACUUUCACGUUUGAGUUGGAAGAGUCAGUCUUGCACAGGAUCUUUCCUUCCCUGUGCCUAAAUUUUGAGUAGCUUCUACAGUAUCAAUAGUGGUUUCUGAGUCUUAAAAACAUGUUGAAGAAUGUGAAUUGCCAUAUAAUUAAAAGUUAUUUUAUUAAAAUAAGCACAAAUCGAAAAACCCAGUGUAAAAUUUGCAUCAUUUUAAAGACACAAUGGAGGGGUACUUGAUAGACAUUUGCACUUGUGGCCAGCUGCAUCUGGCUAUGCUCCCAGAACCCCCAGAGGUUCUCUUAGACUUCGAGAUGCUUUUAGGAGGGCUACAGGGGGAGAGUCUGAGAAUCUCUGUUUAGCUGAUUUUCACCUUCUUUCCUCCGCUUUCUACUUCCUUUAGAAAUGUCCUUUUAUCACACGCACCAUUCUAACACAUGACCAUGUUUCUCACAAUAGAAAAAAGAGACAUGAUAAAACUAAUUCACACUCAAGUUCCAAGAAUAAUUUAUUUGUAUGAAGCCAUAAUAUAAAAGAAAAAAUAAUGAAA